This 941-nucleotide long non-coding RNA is filed under the name Salmo salar (Atlantic salmon). RNAcentral's name for it is "lncRNA (ENSSSAG00000105407.1)". Lineage: Eukaryota; Metazoa; Chordata; Actinopteri; Salmoniformes; Salmonidae. The record is from RNAcentral.
GGGGAGGGACGAAGGGUGCUCUGAAACAGCCAUCACACACAUGUCUAUGGUGGAGAGCAAGAAUGUGUGCCAGCGGCUCCAUAGCGAACGGCAGCAGCUCAAGAAUUAAAGUCCUAGACCGUAAUGGAAAACUGUAAUUGAUACGGGCUGCAGUGGAGCAGGUUGAGAGCUUCAAGUUCCUUGAUGUCCACAUCACCAACAAACCAACAUGGUCCAAAGACACCAUGACAGUCGUGAAGCAGGCACGACAAAACCUAUUCCUCCUCAGGAGACUGAAAAGAUUUGGCAUGGGUCCUCAGAUCCUUACAAGGUUCAACAGCUGCACCAUCGAGGGCAUCCUGACUGGUUGCAUCACUGCCUGGUAUAACUGCUCGGCCUUCGACCGUAAGGCACUACAGAGGGUUGUGCGAACGGCCCAGUACAUCCAGGACCUCUAUACCAGGCUGUGUCAGAGGAAGGCCGGGAAAAUUGUCAAAGACUCCAGCCACCCUAGUCAUAGAUUGUUCUCUCUGCUACCACAAAUGCAAGCGGUACCGGAGCGCCAAGUCUAGGUCCAAGAGGCUUCUAAACAGCUUCUACCUCCAAGCCAUAAGACUCCUGAACAUCUAGUCAAAUGGCUACCCAGACUAUUUACAUAUCCCCCCUCCACACCACUGCCACUCUGUGUUGUCAUCUAUGCAUUGUCACUUUAAUUAACUCUACCUACAUGUACAUACUUCCUCAACUAACCGGUGCCCCGGCACAUCCACUCUGUACCGGCACCCCCCUGUAUAUAUUGUUCUUUUCUACUGCUGCUCUUUAAUUACUUGUUACUUGUUACUUUUCUCUUAUUCUUUUCCGUAUUUUUUUUUAAACUGCACUGUCGGUUAGGGGCUCGUAAGUAAGCAUUUCACUGUAAGGUUGUAUUUGGCGCAUGUGACUAAUAAAACUUUAUUGGAUAA